UGGCUCUGCAAGACUAAACUGAUUUUUCUCACGUAAUUACAUUACAAAUGUGUACUUGUUAAUUAUUGUUUAUGACGAUAAAAAGCGAAAGUACUGUGAUUCUAGAAAAAAAAUAUUCUUCCUUAAAAACAUUUUCUUCAGCUUCUUUUCUAAGUAUAUAUUUGUAGAGAAUAAAUAUAAAUGUAAUGAAUCAAACAACAAAUCAAUUCUAUAUUUAAUAUAAAAACAAUCACUUAGAUGGUCUUCUAACCAAAACGAGUAUGAAUCUGCGAUAACCAAAGUACAAGGAUGUGUAAUGAAAAAAUUGAAGAUCAAGAAAAAUCUGAUGAUUCCCUCUCUUUAGAGGAACUCACAGAACCUACCAACUGCUGUAUGUCUGGUUGUACUAAUUGCGUUUGGAUUCAAUACGUAGAAAAGUUGUCUAGUAAGCUAGAAGUUAGUAACAUGGAUGUACAAAAAGAAAUUUUGGAGAAAAUUCAAGAUCCAAAUAUGAAGGCGUUUCUUUCUAUGGAAUUAAGGUGUCGGAAUUUAAUAAAAUAGUAAUUAUUUAUAACAAUUCAUAGUUUAAAAGUUUGUACAUACACUGUCUUAUUUAGAUUUGAAAUUAAAUAGAAGAGAAGA
This is a long non-coding RNA of Polistes canadensis, 621 nucleotides long. RefSeq lists it as uncharacterized. The record is from RefSeq and is a predicted model, not a curated record. NCBI's taxonomy places the organism in Eukaryota, Metazoa, Arthropoda, Insecta, Hymenoptera, Vespidae. The transcript is spliced from 2 exons.